This is a long non-coding RNA of Zeugodacus cucurbitae (melon fly), 3277 nucleotides long. RefSeq lists it as uncharacterized. The record is from RefSeq and is a predicted model, not a curated record. NCBI's taxonomy places the organism in Eukaryota, Metazoa, Arthropoda, Insecta, Diptera, Tephritidae. The transcript is spliced from 4 exons.
GACAGCUGCAAAGAGAGGGGUAUAAAAAUAUUAAUAUGAUAUUAUCUGUGAAGAGUGGAAGCUUUAUGAAUCUGCUUUUCUUGACAACGAAGAAUAGUGCAUUUAAGUAAAAUAAGUAAUAGAUGAUAACAAUUUGAAACGAGGCCAUUCACAAAAUUGCUUCUUGUAUAUGGAUAUUUCCGUUCGUUGUUCUUUAAAUUUGUUCAAUUUCGCUAUCCACUUGCUAACACAUUCUACCAUGAGGUCAGAAUGGAACCUGAGUUACUAGCUAAACUCGACGACAGUCUGCCAGAUGUGACCGCUUGCCGUCGACGGCAUUCCAAAAGCUCUGGAGUUUUUGUAAGUUCGCGAUUUGUGUGGUCGUUUUUGAACUUCUAUCCGCGGCACAUACAGCCGCACCCAUCACCCGCACACCUAAGCACUCAUCCCGGAGCGGUUUGGAGAGAAGUUCGCUUUGUUCUAAAUGAUAAAUGAUGGCGCGCUGGAAAGCAGACUUGUGGAGUUCGCAAAAUGAAGCUGAAUUGUGAAUAAAGUGAAAUUGAUAGACUUUGUCGUUGCCGAUGGAGGGCCUUAAGAUGAUACCCACGUAUGGGACAUAUACGUGCGAUCCCAAUAUGGCUUAAAUAAAGUAUCAACUUCGUAUUGAUUGAGGUACAGAAAAUAACUAAGCCAACAAUAGAGAGGAUCUGACCUGAAAUGUAUUAAAGAUAACUGGGUGAAUACCGGCGCUUUUCUUGGUGGCUUCAUUGUUACUCUCAUAUCUCUAUAUUUGAUUUUGGAUUCUUGGUGAUGUUUGCAAAUCUAGUUUAUGAUUUAAUAAAUAUGCACUUAUGUGUAUAACUGGAGGACCGACAAAGGACAAUAUUAAGUGCAUAAUUACAAAGACCAACAUAAGCGGGGGCUAAUACGUGGUGUUUUGCGCAGAAUUCACAUGCAUUAUGGGAAUGACACUCUGUAUGCAAUUGCCGGCGGUGUAUCUGUAUGUCUGUGGGGCUGAAUUGCAUUGACCCCCACUUCCACCUCUUACAUAUCGAAAGGACAUUAACCCGCCGCUGCUGCUGCUAUGCAAAUCCAUUCGGUUAUGAUUUCAGCGCAGUCACGUCGUCUACUCACCGCCUCCUCCAUGCACGCCACAGGCACAUGUCCCGUUAAACCCAAGCAAUUGCGAAUUCUGGCAGCUACAUAUUUACUUUGCGUAUGCCGAUGAGUUUCUGAUGCAGCACGUGGCCUGGCGCAAAAUCGCGUGGAGACAGGGGCUGCGCAGAGUCGCUUGGAGUGACGAUGGCGGGAGAUACAUGGGCUGCGCAUACUGCAAGCACUUCACGAUGAGUUGCUGACUACAAAUGAUAAGGAAGCCAUUUAGACAGCCUGGCUGACAGCCAAAGAGAUUGGUUGCUGUAACUACUUAGUUGGGUAUGACGCCUGGUGCUGUAUUAGUAAUUUUUCUACCGAGUUGACAAAGCUACUGCAGAAUGCAGGUAAAUGAAGAUGACGUACAUGAACGAUCACCACAAUAUUAUGAGAGAGCUGUGAAGAUUACACUUCAUCACUGCUGUGCCAUUGGUGGUGCAAAAUAUGGAGAUGUUGUCAGAGAAUGGACUAUGAGCGCUAAAGAUAACGCCAUAGGGAACUUCGAGACUCACAAGAAAGUUCACUGUUUACAUACACCUAUUCAAAUGACCACUUCAACGGUUUAAUACAGUGUAGUGCUUAGUAUUUGUAAGGGGCACACAUUUCAUGUUCGUCGAGUGUCCCCCUCCCACACUGAACCGGCUGCUUUGGCCUGAGGAUGUGUUGAAUUCAGAAAUGAGGUCAAGGAUAUCAUCCUUUGCGGCAGCUUCCACUGCACUGCCCACUCGUCGAUGAGCACCAGUGCACUUACCUCCCGCAAUCGGAUACAAAUUUCAAAUUGUAUAUAGUGACUGCUGAGAAGCAACGGGAGCUCACAGUUUACAGCAGCCCACAAGGCUGGGAGCUCUACGAGAAAGAUUCGCGUGCGUGUGUGAGCGACCACUUAAUCACUCUUUCCACAUGUACUCCAUUGAAAAUGAUGAUAUUGAAUAAAUAUUAAAAAGACUAACACUGACACUUUUGUAUUGAUGCGUUGAGUUGGCGGUCUAUUCAGGCAUCCAGUGAUGGGCGCCAUUGAGUUUUAAUGAGAGUUAUAAGUGUAAAAAAGAAAAGGAAACGGAUUCAAGCUCCCACAAGAAAGACAUGGAAUGGGGCGCAAUGUGAUGUGGUCGCUUUUGAAGCGCUAUUAAAACCAUAAAAGAGCGAAUAUUUGCAAGGUAUUUUACACACAGCAUACUAAGGACAAGUGAAAAUCAAUCAAACAAAUUACACAAAAAAAAUAUUCUGCUUACGGAUAUCAAAGAGACGGGUGAGGUCUUUAUGGUCCCAUGUGUGCUAUAUGUUUGAAUAAUUAUAAUAUGCAAAGGAAAAAGUUAUGAUAAAUUGAAGAUAAUGAUGAAAAUGCAAUGAUGCACUCACACAGUCAAAUGUGUUAAAGGGAAACUCAUUUAAAGAAAUCUCUUAUUGCUCCAGUAUAAAAAUAAAAUUUACAGAUUGUGUUUAAAAAUUAUCUACAUUAUUAUUACGAAAGCGCUUGCAUUAUCUCAAUCAAUACAGUUGUUGUGUUUGUUUUGUUGCCACGAAAUAUAAAGGUUUCUACUUUUGACGUUGGUAAGAAGACCCAAAGGCGAAAGUUUGUAGCAUUAGUGUGCAUUCGACAUUCGUACAACAACAUCAAAAUAUGACCGAUUGUCAAAAGACAGCUUAUUAGAGCCAGCUUGUUUAACUCACGUGUCGUGGGCUUAUACAUCUAGACCCAGAGCUGCCUGUUCAUGGCAGAGUCUAUGGGUAUUUACUGUACUUCGGCUAAAUCUCUGGAGCAUAAAUUGAAACUGAAUUCCAUAAAUUCAACUUUCCAUUAUUAAAUAUACAUGCAAGUAGUGUAGAAUGUUAGUGUGCAUGCCUUAGCAUUGCAUGGAUUAGAGAAAGAAGGACAUGUCGGCUCAUUCAAUGUUUAUGAGCCAAGUGAGAUAUUACUCAUACGCAAUGUCGUACAAAUGCAUUUCUACUCUGCGAAGCAAAUCAUCUUCUGUCGAGGACAUGAGUGCGCUAUUUGAGUGUGUUGGUGCAUUACAUUAAGCAAUUAAUACUGUUGUUAUUCAUUUGAUGUCUUCGUUUGUGUGUUUCUGUGUGUGCAAGCAAGUGAUGCCGAGUGGCACUUGUCAAUUCUUGCAGUACGUACUGAUACAUUGUCAUGCUCCAGACU